RNAcentral lists this ribosomal RNA (460 nucleotides) under uncultured bacterium. Its description in RNAcentral is "partial 16S ribosomal RNA". It matches the Rfam family "Bacterial small subunit ribosomal RNA", at positions 338 to 795 of the family's 1533-position model. The record is from RNAcentral.
CCUACGGGAGGCAGCAGUGAGGAAUAUUGGUCAAUGGGCGCGAGCCUGAACCAGCCAUGCCGCGUGAAGGAUGACGGCCCUAUGAGUUGUAAACUUCUUUUGUACGGGAGUAAAGUGAGUCACGUGUACCUUUUUGAAUGUACUUUAUGAAUAAGGAUCGGCUAACUCCGUGCCAGCAGCCGCGGUAAUACGGAGGAUCCGAGCGUUAUCCGGAUUUAUUGGGUUUAAAGGGAGCGUAGAUGGGUUGUUAAGUCAGUUGUGAAAGUUUGGGGCUCAACCGUAGAACUGCAAUUGAUACUGGCAGGCUUGAGUAUAGUUGAGGUAGGCGGAAUUCGUGGUGUAGCGGUGAAAUGCUUAGAGAUCACGAAGAACACCGAUUGCGAAGGCAGCUUACUAAACUGCAACUGACAUUGAUGCGCGAAAGUGUGGGUAGCAAACAGGAUUAGAUACCCGAGUAGUC